Molecule: non-coding RNA, 3505 nt
Organism: Megalopta genalis
Lineage: Eukaryota; Metazoa; Arthropoda; Insecta; Hymenoptera; Halictidae
Source: RefSeq, a predicted model, not a curated record
GUCUACGGAUACCCAAGGAUAUCGAUCCGAUAUAAAACUGGAUACUUUUUUUCCGCUUGGCGAGUGAAAGGGACGAGCAAUCGAUAAUUGACGUCUAUCAACGACGGAGCCGGCUAAUUCGAUCGACGCUUCCAGAAAAUUGAGAGACACUGUUUACGGUUAUUGGGUUACAGUUUCACGCUCACGGUGGUCUGUCACCUUUCCGUGCAACCUUCGCGAACAAGCUCGAAUACGUCUUCGAUGAUCGACAUAGAAAAUUAAUUCUCGCCGUCGAUAUUUCGGCCCGCGAAUUUCUUAUACCACGGACAUAGGUACGUGACGUUUCGAAUUUUUACCACCACCGAAUCGUAGUCAGUUUCACUCGAUCGAACGAACUCGAAAAUCGAGAGAAAAGGUCCGUUCAACAGGCACCGAGCUUGAACAAGCCGACAAAUGAAAAAGAGAAAAGGGAACGUGCGAAAUUUGGCGCCCGAUAGCGCCACGACGCUGCAUUCUCAAGGAAAAUAAACCGUUCGCCGUCUGACUAUUUGAUUUAUGAGUGCGGGCGACAACCUACCGCACGGCAUACCGAAAUAGAUCAAGAGGAGAACCAUUGCGGUGUGUACAGCCGAGGUAAAUCUGACGCGGGAACAACCACUGCACCUUAUUUCGUACAGGUCGCUCUAUAAAUCUCCCCAUACAACCGCAACGAUAUCUUUUUUCAUCGAAAUGUUAGUUAGGAGCAAAUUAUGCUGUCGUUGUGGAAUGAAAGACAAUAUUUAUUGUAUAUAAUCGAGAAAAAAUACAUUCGAGAAUGUUUGCAGUUUAACGUUUGCAGUAGUCGAAGCAAUUGGAGAAAUUAUAUAAGUUCAGGUGUAACAUGCAUUUCAAUAUGCUUAGACUGAUAACGAUAACAAACGAUAACGGCAACGAACGUAUGAUUUGUAUCGCUUCACCUUAGGACCAUAAUUACUUUAAAAGAUGCAGAAAAAUGAUUUUACUUUAAAUUUUUAUAUUUUCAACGAAUUUUUUUUUAUUUCGGCUCAAAUUAUUCGACACCCUGUAGGCAGGGUGUUUGUCAGACAUCGGUUUAUACGUCUUGUUUAGUAGCAUAACGGGAGCGGAAGAGAGAGACAGUGGAGGGAGGACAUAAGGUUCACACGAUCGAUGCAGGAAUCGUUUCACGAUGCAAAGUGUUUUCUCGGGGCUCGUCGAACGAUUACACUUCGACAAAAAUGCUUAGAAAGUAGUGGACUUUCUCCUUCUACCGGAAAUUAUCAUGCCAUCAUCGGUACCUAUCACGAUUUACAACCAUCUGGGUAAACAACACAUACUCAGCAAACCGUCACUUCUGUUAGGAUACUGCGAGCAUUAACAUUAUUCCUGACUCAAAAAAUAUUUGAUUAGACCUACCUUCAAACUUUAACUCUAGUAUCAACAAUGGUAUGCCUAUUCUCAUUUGCAGGUGUUUCCUAUUGAGGAAAUGAGUCAAGUAAAUAUUGAGUUGAUUGAAAUAUCUACUAGUCCUACUUAAACAACCUUAAAGAUACAUCUCUUUCUUUUUUCUAACGAAACUAUCGCCCCUUAUAAGAAAUGUUGCUAGAACAACUGCUGGUAACGAUUGUGUUAUCGGAAUUUAACCUUCCUUGUUGCAUCUGAGUACCGAUCACCGUGCCUGUUCUAUGUGCAAUAUGUAUCUUCUAGCAUUAAUAAAUCCUCGAGAUUUUUUGCACAGCACGAAUUAAUUCGUGGGGCGAGUUUGCAUGCCCAUGAUGGAAGUCGGCAAGGGAAGGAGGGAGAAUGUUGAAAAACGUGGUAAAAGUACUCGACAUGUGACGAACAGACCGUGAAGGAAGGCAAGGUAUACGUAUACACCGUGGCACGACCGAUAUACGGGGUGUCAGAUAAAUACUGAUAAAAUCGGUGUCUCCAAGGGGGAUGAAGGAUAUUACGAUCCCUCCUACAAGGGAAUCAAUUAAUCGUUCGCGACAGUUGGGGUAGCAGGAAGCACACGGACCCGGCGUCGGUCCGAAUAGACGGAAAUCUAGGCAUGACUUUGGCGAUCGAUAAAUGAAUUCCACGAGCCUGGUGUCUCAUCCGUCUUUCUCUUAUCUUCUUCGUACCGUGACUGUUGCUACUUCCGUUCCAGGCACACGCUGUUCCGCGAAACGACCGCGAGAAGACGAGAAUUGGAGGAACGACACCCUGAAAGGAUAACGAAAGCAUACGACAGGGUAUAGCAGUAAUGGAAUUGCCAACGUGAUGCAACCGCCAGUGAACGUGAUACCUUUGUAAGGAGAAGAAAAAGCAAUGCGACCGGGUUUACAAAACAGCCUCGCACUACCGGCUGGAACUUACAACCCUAAAUCGCUUUACCCGUGGAUUUGUGAAAUCAGAAACUCUUACGAUUGCUGAUCAAUUUCGACUCACCGAGGGGCCGAGGUGGGGUUUGCAUGUCGAAAUCAAAUUAAUCGGGGCCCAUUCGUUGGGAUGCGGGGAGUGUCUUAGAAUUCUCCAUCGCAAAGAGUUUUCGAGAUAUCGAGUAUUGCCAGUUCAGAACGACUCUGUGGAAGGGCCAAUGUAUUCCUGUUGGCUUCUUUUUUUUUUAAUUAUCGGACCGUAGGUGAUCAAUCAGUUCCACUAGGUGAACCGACGCGAGUUCUUCUGGAGGAAAAAUUGGCGAGCUGCGAGUCGGUAGUGCCGUAUCCCAGACAAAGCUAACUGGUUUAUUUGAGGAAGGCACCCUUUUAAGACCCCUUUCAUUGUUUGAACGCUUCACCACCACGAUGAGCAGGAAAUGGAUCUUUAUAUCUAACUAGACGUGCGUAUAUGUAAUAAUGAAAAGUAAAUAAAAAGGAUAAUAAGGGGAACAGAACAAUGCUUGUACGGGAAGAGCAUUGCGAGCAUCCUUAAUUUCUACAAACAUCGUUCUACCAGGUAUAUUUACAAAACACUAAGUAAGCGAAAUGGUAAAAUAAACAAAAUACAUAGUUGUAAUACCGUAUUGUGUUUGAGUAGAUCGAACAAGUUUUCAAAAGUUUUUAUUAUUCAGAAAUAGAAUAAUUAUUUCAUCAGAGAGAAAUCUCAAAUAUUUUUAUAAAAUUAUUUAUUCUUUCAAAUCUACGAAGCCCCUUUAAGUAAUGACGCCGGACGUUUAGUAGAUGCAUUUUCUAUCAUGAUAAAAUCGCAAGGAGAGGCUUGCCGCGUUGUUGGAAUACUUUACUCGAGUGUUUGACGUAAAUGCUUCUAGCGGUGCAACUUCUUUAAUGGUGUACUCUCAUUUCGAGGAACGAAAUGAUCACCUUCUAAAACCGUCGUUUGGAUUUAUAAAUUUUUCAGAAUUAAUAACCGGCAAGCACUUCUAGCAGUAUUUCCAACACGAAAAAAUUUAAUGGAAAGUACCCAUUUCGUAAUUAAAAGAGCCUGUUAAGUAGAACCGACCCGGUUAAUAAAACAAUGAAAUUAAGUGGAUCGUUUUGUUUGUUACCGAGAACAGAUUAUAAAGUCGACUAUACUUAAUCAAAAA